RNAcentral lists this long non-coding RNA (548 nucleotides) under Erythranthe guttata (spotted monkey flower). Its description in RNAcentral is "long non-coding RNA (EGUT_LNC000210)". Lineage: Eukaryota; Viridiplantae; Streptophyta; Magnoliopsida; Lamiales; Phrymaceae. The record is from RNAcentral.
CACGUUUAUUUCAACAUUCAUACCCAUGUUUAUUGAGGGCUGAGAUCAGGCUUUCUUUGUUGCAUUCUGAGACUACUGUGAUCAUAUUUCAAUUGCACUGACUGCAUUUUGGUUUCGGGUUAUUUUCUCGUAAUUAAUUGUAAGUUUUCAUGCUAGCUAGCUAGGGUUUAUAUUUUGGAUGAUGAUUAUGUUUGCUUAAUGAUGAUGAUGGUGUGUUGUAUUUCUACAGACUGGAACUCGAGUGUGAAGAAACACUGCUGCUGCAUUUGCAUUUCAAUGGAGGUUUUCUGAUCCUGGAUUUUGGUUUUGCAUUUUCUCGAUUUUUUUUAUUUUUUUUUCUGGUGAAUAUGACGCCAAUAUUACUACCACUUACAAAUGAUUCCGGCGCUGCCACGUCAUUAGCUUCCCACAAAAAGUCACCGCCGCCUUCGGCGGACACGCCACCGUCUCCUUCAGCCCCUCCUCCUGAAUCUGAAUCUGAAUCCUCUCCACCGCCGGAUCCUUCCGAGCCUCCUCCAUCAACUCCCUCCGCUCCACCUCCUGAUCAA